This 253-nucleotide ribosomal RNA is filed under the name uncultured bacterium. RNAcentral describes it as "partial 16S ribosomal RNA". It matches the Rfam family "Bacterial small subunit ribosomal RNA", at positions 524 to 776 of the family's 1533-position model. The record is from RNAcentral.
UACGAAGGGGGCUAGCGUUGUUCGGAAUCACUGGGCGUAAAGCGCACGUAGGCGGAUUGCUAAGUCAGGGGUGAAAUCCCGGAGCUCAACUCCGGAACUGCCUUUGAUACUGAGGAUCUUGAGUUCGAGAGAGGUGAGUGGAACUGCGAGUGUAAAGGUGAAAUUCGUAGAUAUUCGCAAGAACACCAGUGGCGAAGGCGGCUCACUGGCUCGAUACUGACGCUGAGGUGCGAAAGCGUGGGGAGCAAACAGG